RNAcentral lists this unclassified non-coding RNA (260 nucleotides) under uncultured fungus. RNAcentral describes it as "partial contains 5.8S ribosomal RNA, internal transcribed spacer 2, and large subunit ribosomal RNA". Lineage: Eukaryota; Fungi. The record is from RNAcentral.
AACGCACAUUGCGCCCUUUGGCAUUCCGAAGGGCAUGCCUGUUCGAGCGUCAUUAUCAAUCCUCAAGCCUGGCUUGUUAUUGGAUCGUGCGUCGCGGGUGGCCCCCGCGGUGGCAGUUCCGAAAGGCAACGGCGGCGUCGUGGGAGACCCCGGAUACAACGAGCUCUACUGCAGCACGUAUCGAGGAGGUCCAACGGCCCGGCACCUUUUUAACUCCCAAGAUUGACCUCGGAUCAGGUAGGAAUACCCGCUGAACUUAA